RNAcentral lists this ribosomal RNA (253 nucleotides) under uncultured bacterium. Its description in RNAcentral is "partial 16S ribosomal RNA". It matches the Rfam family "Bacterial small subunit ribosomal RNA", at positions 524 to 776 of the family's 1533-position model. The record is from RNAcentral.
UACGUAGGUGGCAAGCGUUAUCCGGAAUUAUUGGGCGUAAAGCGCGCGCAGGUGGUUUCUUAAGUCUGAUGUGAAAGCCCACGGCUCAACCGUGGAGGGUCAUUGGAAACUGGGGGACUUGAGUGCAGAAGAGGAAAGUGGAAUUCCAUGUGUAGCGGUGAAAUGCGUAGAGAUAUGGAGGAACACCAGUGGCGAAGGCGACUUUCUGGUCUGUAACUGACACUGAGGCGCGAAAGCGUGGGGAGCAAACAGG